This 274-nucleotide ribosomal RNA is filed under the name uncultured bacterium. RNAcentral describes it as "partial 16S ribosomal RNA". It matches the Rfam family "Bacterial small subunit ribosomal RNA", at positions 523 to 796 of the family's 1533-position model. The record is from RNAcentral.
AUACAGAGGGUGCAAGCGUUAAUCGGAAUUACUGGGCGUAAAGCGCGCGUAGGCGGUUUGUUAAGUUGGAUGUGAAAGCCCCGGGCUUAACCUGGGAGGGUCAUUCAAAACUGGCAGACUAGAGUGUGGUAGAGGGUAGUGGAAUUCCUAGUGUAGCGGUGAAAUGCGUAGAGAUUAGGAGGAACACCAGUGGCGAAGGCGACUGCCUGGACCAACACUGACGCUGAGGUGCGAAAGCGUGGGUAGCGAACAGGAUUAGAAACCCCGGUAGUCC